Molecule: non-coding RNA, 28 nt
Filed under: Homo sapiens (human)
Lineage: Eukaryota; Metazoa; Chordata; Mammalia; Primates; Hominidae
Source: RNAcentral
GAGAGAAACAUAAAUCUGGCUUACGUGC